Molecule: ribosomal RNA, 390 nt
Filed under: Biecheleriopsis sp.
Lineage: Eukaryota; Dinophyceae; Lophodiniales; Lophodiniaceae
Description: partial small subunit ribosomal RNA
Rfam family: Eukaryotic small subunit ribosomal RNA
Source: RNAcentral
AUUCCAGCUCCAAUAGCGUAUAUUAAAGUUGUUGCGGUUAAAAAGCUCGUAGUUGGAUUUCUGCUGAGGAUGACCGGUCCGCCCUCUGGGUGAGUAUCUGGCUCAGCCUUGGCAUCUUCCUGAAGAACGUAUCUGCACUUGACUGUGUGGUGCGGUAUUUAGGACAUUUACUUUGAGGAAAUUAGAGUGUUUCAAGCAAGCGCACGCCUUGAAUACAUUAGCAUGGAAUAAUAAGAUAGGACCUUGGCGGUCUAUUUUGUUGGUUUGCACGCCGAGGUAAUGAUUAAAAGGGACGGUUGGGGUUCUUCGUAUUCAAUUGUCAGAGGUGAAAUUCUUGGAUUUAUGGAAGACGAACUGCUGCGAAAGCGUCGAACAAGGACGUUCUCAUCA